Molecule: ribosomal RNA, 480 nt
Filed under: uncultured Flavobacteriaceae bacterium
Lineage: Bacteria; Pseudomonadati; Bacteroidota; Flavobacteriia; Flavobacteriales; Flavobacteriaceae
Description: bacterial SSU rRNA
Rfam family: Bacterial small subunit ribosomal RNA
Source: RNAcentral
GAUGAACGCUAGCGGCAGGCUUAACACAUGCAAGUCGAGGGGUAUUAUGCUUUCGGGCAUAAGAGACCGGCGCACGGGUGCGUAACGCGUAUGAAAUCUACCUUAUACAGGGGUAUAGCCCGGAGAAAUCCGGAUUAAUCCCCCAUAGUAUUAUAUUGGGGCAUCCCGAUAUAAUUAAAGCUUUUUUGUGGUAUAAGAUGAUCAUGCGUCUUAUUAGCUGGUUGGUAUGGUAACGGCAUACCAAGGCAACGAUAAGUAGGGGUCCUGAGAGGGAGACCCCCCACACUGGUACUGAGACACGGACCAGACUCCUACGGGAGGCAGCAGUGAGGAAUAUUGGACAAUGGUCGAGAGACUGAUCCAGCCAUGCCGCGUGCAGGAUGACGGCCUUACGGGUUGUAAACUGCUUUUUUAGAGGAAGAAUAAUAUCGACUUGUCGAUAGAUGACGGUACUUUAAGAAUAAGCAUCGGCUAACUCCG